This is a small nuclear RNA of Heterocephalus glaber (naked mole-rat), 106 nucleotides long. NCBI's taxonomy places the organism in Eukaryota, Metazoa, Chordata, Mammalia, Rodentia, Bathyergidae. The record is from Ensembl.
GUGCCGGCUUCGGCAGCAUAUAUACUAAAAUUGGAAAGAUACAGAGAAGAUUAGCAUGGCCCCGGCGCACGGAUGCACGCGAAUUCGUGAAGCGUUCCGUAUUUAA